Molecule: ribosomal RNA, 291 nt
Filed under: uncultured prokaryote
Description: partial 16S ribosomal RNA
Rfam family: Bacterial small subunit ribosomal RNA
Source: RNAcentral
GUGCCAGCCGCCGCGUAAUACGGAGGGUGCGAGCGUUAAUCGGAAUUACUGGGCGUAAAGCGCAUGCAGGUGGUUUGUUAAGUCAGAUGUGAAAGCCCGGGGCUCAACCUCGGAAUAGCAUUUGAAACUGGCAGACUAGAGUACUGUAGAGGGGGGUAGAAUUUCAGGUGUAGCGGUGAAAUGCGUAGAAAUCUGAAGGAAUACCGGUGGCGAAGGCGGCCCCCUGGACAGAUACUGACACUCAGAUGCGAAAGCGUGGGGAGCAAACAGGAUUAGAUACCCUCGUAGUCC